GUGCAGAGGAGGCCCGUGGUUCAGGUGGUGGACCGGCUGCAUGGACCUGGCUGCAUGCGGAUCCCCAUACAUCGUGGAGGGGAUGCCUACUCCGUCCAUGCCCCCAUAAUGGGGCAAGUUACUUUUCUAAGAUUUGGAAAUGCUGAGAGGGAAAUGAUUUCCAAAGAGAGGAGACCUGCCACUGUCAACCUCUUCAAGCCAGAGGUGUGAAGAGUUUGGAAGAAUGCUGACAUUUGCCUGAACCAAGAGAAUAAAGAAAAAUGUGUCCUCUAGUAACUUUCUUUUCCAAAAGGGGCUUUGAGGGCCAAGACACAAAUUAUGCAAGGCAGCCUUUUUGUAGACCCUUUUCUUUUAAGAAGCCACCUCAGCCGGGCGUCAUUGUCUCAGUUUACUUUCAAGGCAUUUCCAUUCAAAUAGGAAUAUUGGGGAAAUUAGUAUUGCAUUUUAAAAGUGAGUAGCUCUGUGUUUAGUAUCUCACUAGGACAGAACUUAGCUAAGGAAAAAAGAUCUACAAACUUAUUAUCUUGCAUAAAAACCCAUGCAAAUUGAAAUUACUUUUAAAAGAGGAAUGUUUUUCCAACCAAAAAUUCACUGCACCAGGACAUUACUUAGCUAAAAAUGCUCCCUACUUCUACUGAUAUUAAAGAUGACUAUAGUCAAUAAUAAGGCAAAAGUUCUCAGCUGCUCAUUUUAAUUAAACAUAGCUUUAAACUUUUGGUCCCUAAAUGCUUAAAUUACAGCACUGGAUAUGUAGCAUUCCCCACUCCCUUCUUUUCUUUUAAAACAGGUGAUUCCUUGAGCUUGUAUUUUUAUUUCUAUAGCUGUUGGCUAGGAAUCUACAGACAACUUGAUUACUUGAAUUAAUAACCACAAGAAACAUGCAGAAGGCUGCAAAUGCAUUAAGUAAACCUGUCGAUUUAGGCCACGGCUUUAGGAUCCUCAUUCAAAAAGAGAGAAAGAAAAGAGGAAACUUAGCAGCGGUGUCUUUCAGCCACGUUUCAAUUUAAUCUCACAUUUGAGUUCCACAAUUGUUUUUAAUACGUACCCUUUGCGCCAUCGGCCUCUCUGGCUCCCUUCCUACUUCAACUUCUAAUAUAUCCUCUUUAAGGCCAGUGUGAAAAGAAACAAAUAUGCAAACUCCCUCGGAAAAAAAUAAAGCACAACAACAACAACAAAAAAAUCCCUUUGCGUCUCCAGCAGUGUGAAUUACUGGUCCCAGAUCUUCGGUCUACGGGACCUGAAGCAAGGCGCCCGCGUCGCUGAGCAUAAAAGCGCUCUGGUUCCACCAAGACAGCAGUGGGAGGGAAAAAAAAGCAGAUCUUCUCUCCCCCCCAAAAAAAAUCAGUUAAAAAAAAAAGAAAGAAAAGAAAAGAAAAAGAAAAAAAAAGAGCG
Mastomys coucha (southern multimammate mouse) is the source of this 1392-nucleotide long non-coding RNA. RefSeq lists it as uncharacterized. Lineage: Eukaryota; Metazoa; Chordata; Mammalia; Rodentia; Muridae. The transcript has 2 exons. The record is from RefSeq and is a predicted model, not a curated record.